CAGUAGCCGCGGGAAAACGGAAGGUCCAGGCGUUAUCCGGAUUUAUUGGGUUUAAAGGGAGUGUAGGCGGUCUGUUAAGCGUGUUGUGAAAUUUAGGUGCUCAACAUCUAACUUGCAGCGCGAACUGGCGGACUUGAGUGCACGCAACGUAUGCGGAAUUCAUGGUGUAGCGGUGAAAUGCUUAGAUAUCAUGACGAACUCCGAUUGCGAAGGCAGCGUACGGGAGUGUUACUGACGCUUAAGCUCGAAGGUGCGGGUAUCGAACAGGAUUAGAUACCCCAGUAGUCCCUGUCUCUUAUAC
RNAcentral lists this ribosomal RNA (301 nucleotides) under uncultured bacterium. RNAcentral's name for it is "partial 16S ribosomal RNA". It matches the Rfam family "Bacterial small subunit ribosomal RNA", at positions 509 to 807 of the family's 1533-position model. The record is from RNAcentral.